CGGCCCACCCAGUCCGCGAGAACCGGGCAGAUCGCCUCGACGGUACGGAGGCCGGCCGACGGGUCCGCCAAACGACGAGACCACGCCUCCAGCACGGACUGCCGAUAUUGGAGCCCCCGCGCUCCGGCUGCACUUGCGCUAGGGCGCGCCGCCUCGUAGGAGACUGUGAGGUGCUGUGGCAGGUCCAACCAGAGACGUCAACGUGUGUUCCAGAGCUUCAGUGUGUUACAGAUAAGUGGUUUUGGCUUCCCCUUUAUGUUCCAUUCAGGGUCAGAAUGUAGUCUUAUAAAACAAAGUCAUAGUAAUUUAUUCAAUGGUAAGCGGUUUCAUGAACAAGUCACUCUUUGAUCUGAAAGUAACUUAGACCAAUCAUGAUGGCAAGAGCACUUAGGGGAUAUUCAACUCGCCCUUAAUAGUGCACGUUGUCGAGUAACAGGGUUUACUCCAAUAGAAUAGACGUUUGCCGUUCAGGGUAGUUCACUUGAAAUAUCUUAAAGUUUCAACAGAGUGAUAAUCCCUCUAGAUUAGAUCUUGAUUUAGCACGGUCGAAGACCGGCGAAAACAUAAAAAAAGGGCACAAACAGAAGCUUGGUUUAGUCGAGGCAAAGCUAAAGUCAAACUCUUUUCCGCUGGGGAUUUUGUUUUCGUAAGUUGACCGAAAAUGUAAAGGUCCCUUCAACAUUACUGCAGUUUUGGAAAACGAUAGGUAUAAAUUGAGACAUGUAAAUAGUUCUAAUAGAGUGUACAAAUUUCCCCAUGAAAACUUACGUGAAAUACCUCGAGGCCCGUCAGGCCUACUAGAAAUUUCUGAAAAUUAUAGUGACGAUGACGUGACGGCGUACACAGAUGGGUUAAUUAAUCUUGUUCAUGAAACUGAUCUUAAUGAUGACGACUCUAUCACUGACAAUAGAAGCGACAUUUUUGUCCGCAAAUAGCGAUACAGCAAACAUAGUCUGUGGGUAGUGAUACAAUGUCUGUAAGCUCAGGCACCUCAGGUGCAGGUGUUGGAAAUGUAGAAAACGAUGGUCGGUCUCGCACUAUUUCUGAAGAAAUUCCGUAUAAAUGUUCUGGUUUAAGAAAUGUUUUAACAAACGCUACCGUACACGCAGAUUAAAAAAAAAAAAAAAAGAGAAUUGUAUGUGGCUAGAGAGAUGUUAAUCCGGACUAGCAAAAAAAAAA
RNAcentral lists this long non-coding RNA (1179 nucleotides) under Bombyx mandarina (wild silkworm). Its description in RNAcentral is "uncharacterized LOC114246787". Lineage: Eukaryota; Metazoa; Arthropoda; Insecta; Lepidoptera; Bombycidae. The record is from RNAcentral.